This 163-nucleotide ribosomal RNA is filed under the name uncultured bacterium. RNAcentral's name for it is "partial 16S ribosomal RNA". It matches the Rfam family "Bacterial small subunit ribosomal RNA", at positions 1338 to 1500 of the family's 1533-position model. The record is from RNAcentral.
GUAAUCGUAGGUCAGCAUACUACGGUGAAUACGUUCCCGGGCCUUGUACACACCGCCCGUCAAACCAUGAGAGUUGGCAACACCCGAAGUCGGUAGUCUAACCGCAAGGAGGACGCCGCCGAAGGUGGGGUUNAUGAUUAGGGUUAAGUCGUAACAAGGUAAC